GACGAACGCUGGCGGCGUGCUUAACACAUGCAAGUCGAACGGAAAGGCCCCUUCGGGGGUACUCGAGUGGCGAACGGGUGAGUAACACGUGAGUAACCUGCCCUUGACUUCGGGAUAACUUCAGGAAACUGGGGCUAAUACCGGAUAGGAAUCCUUGCUGCAUGGUGGGGGUUGGAAAGCUUCGGCGGUUUUGGAUGGACUGGCGGCUUAUCAGCUUGUUGGUGGGGUAGUGGCUUACCAAGGCUUUGACGGGUAGCCGGCCUGAGAGGGCGACCGGCCACAUUGGGACUGAGAUACGGCCCAGACUCCGACGGGAGGCAGCAGUGGGGAAUAUUGCACAAUGGGCGGAAGCCUGAUGCAGCAACGCCGCGUGCGGGAUGACGGCCUUCGGGUUGUAAACCGCUUUCAGCAGGGGCGAAGCUUGUGGUGACGGUACCUGCAGAAGAAGCACCGGCUAACUACGUG
This 465-nucleotide ribosomal RNA is filed under the name uncultured bacterium. Its description in RNAcentral is "partial 16S ribosomal RNA". It matches the Rfam family "Bacterial small subunit ribosomal RNA", at positions 28 to 507 of the family's 1533-position model. The record is from RNAcentral.